UACGGAGGAGGCAAGCGUUAUCCGGAAUUAUUGGGCGUAAAGCGUCCGUAGGUGGCUAGUCAAGUCUGCGGUCAAAGACUGGGGCUUAACCCUGGAAAGGCCGUGGAAACUGACGAGCUAGAGUGCAGUAGGGGCAGAGGGAAUUUCCGGUGGAGCGGUGAAAUGCAUUGAGAUCGGAAAGAACACCAACGGCGAAAGCACUCUGCUGGGCCGACACUGACGCUGAGGUGCGAAAGCGUGGGGAGCAAACAGG
Molecule: ribosomal RNA, 253 nt
Filed under: uncultured bacterium
Lineage: Bacteria
Description: partial 16S ribosomal RNA
Rfam family: Bacterial small subunit ribosomal RNA
Source: RNAcentral